GACGAACGCUGGCGGCGUGCUUAACACAUGCAAGUCGAACGGAAAGGCCCUGCUUUUGUGGGGUGCUCGAGUGGCGAACGGGUGAGUAACACGUGAGUAACCUGCCCUUGACUUUGGGAUAACUUCAGGAAACUGGGGCUAAUACCGGAUAGGAGCUCCUGCUGCAUGGUGGGGGUUGGAAAGUUUCGGCGGUUGGGGAUGGACUCGCGGCUUAUCAGCUUGUUGGUGGGGUAGUGGCUUACCAAGGCUUUGACGGGUAGCCGGCCUGAGAGGGUGACCGGCCACAUUGGGACUGAGAUACGGCCCAGACUCCUACGGGAGGCAGCAGUGGGGAAUAUUGCACAAUGGGCGGAAGCCUGAUGCAGCAACGCCGCGUGCGGGUUGACGGCCUUCGGGUUGUAAACCGCUUCCGCCUGUGACGAAGCGUGAGUGACGGUAAUGGGUAAAGAAGCACCGGCUAACUACGUG
This 468-nucleotide ribosomal RNA is filed under the name uncultured bacterium. RNAcentral's name for it is "partial 16S ribosomal RNA". It matches the Rfam family "Bacterial small subunit ribosomal RNA", at positions 28 to 507 of the family's 1533-position model. The record is from RNAcentral.